Mus musculus (house mouse) is the source of this 1791-nucleotide long non-coding RNA. RefSeq annotates it as predicted gene, 34198. NCBI's taxonomy places the organism in Eukaryota, Metazoa, Chordata, Mammalia, Rodentia, Muridae. The transcript has 4 exons. The record is from RefSeq and is a predicted model, not a curated record.
UUGUUGUUGUUGUUGUUGUUGUUGUUGUUGUUUUUAAUCUUCUGAUAAAAACAGAGAGUAUGGAUCUCUUGUUCAACAAGAACACCAUCCAUUUGUCUCUUGUUUCUUUUUGUCCACUUGGUUUCUUCCUGUGUCCUUUCUGUCAAGGUGAGGAGUCCCCUCUCUCUAAAAAGAGCCCAUGGACACUGGCAUUGGCAAAUGCAUACCAACUGUUCAUGGUGUGCCUGUCUUUACCCUUCUCCCAGCAAAAUGCAUGGAAUAAAGCCAGAAGGUCAGCCCUUUGUGCUGAAGGCCAUUGGCUGAUGGACUGGGCCUUUACUAUCCUGGGUAGGUGACCACUGCAGCCCCGUGUACCUGAUUCCAUGUUGAACACAAGUACUCCAUAUAAUACCUCUUCACGUCUGACAGUCGGACUGCAUCAAUCGCUUUCAGAAGUGCAAGGUGCAGCUGCAGUGGAGCUCCGCGUGGAGGCCAGAGACUCCAGCCAGCCCCACUGCAGAGGAAGAUGCAGCAGCCACAUCUGCAGGGGUAGCAGCAGCCAGGGCUGGGGCCCUGCUUGAGAAGGGAGAUGAAGCUAAUCAAGUCCACCUUCCACCACAGCUGUGAGUGUUUCUGCAUUGCCAGAACCUGCCUGCAGAAGCUGAGCUUUGAGCUCCUGUAGGUAGGAGCUGGAAGGGCCAGAGCCAGGGCAGUGCCUGGAGUACAUUUCCCCUCAUGAAGGUUGGUAUGGGGCCCAUCCACAUCCAAUGCUAUGUCCCUCAUCUGGUCGGUGGAGUCUCAUGACCCUAACUUGGUUGCUGUCUUGGAGUGGUUCUUUUGGGUUAUCAUCUGGUAGCAGGCUGGCUGGGCUGAUGGCUGACAUUUUAUUAAGUCAGAUAUGGGGCUGGCCCAGAAGAUGGGCCUCAUAAUGUGUUAUUUGAGUGUUACAUAUCCACUUACUGCAGUUCCUCUCAGGAGGUCCAUUACAAUGUCUAAGAUGUAAGUUAGUAACAGUUCCUGGCACACAGUCAAUUUAUUUAUUAGAAUGGUUGCAGCAGCAACUGCUCACAAACAAGCAGGCCAAACAGGAUCAAGUCUUUUAGAUAGAAACGCCACUAGCCCCUUCCAGGUGCCUGGGACAUUCAUCAUAUCCAUCCUCCUCCACAAACUCCCUCUGCGCCUGUGGACAUCACCCACAAUACCACGCUUACUGCUAGCAUCACCAUAACAACAGUAGCAACAGCUUGCAGCACAGAAUCUGCCAGAAGAGAGGAGGAUGGCACAGCAUGACCCAUGAGUCUGUGGAAAGUUGCUAGUCAUCCCAGGGGCAGCAGUAGCUGUGGCUCCAGGAGGGCUCACUCCCCUUCCUUUUUAGAUCUUUUUCUCUAAUCAAUAGAACUGAGAGAACUGCACAGAGAGAUACAUAGUAAAGACAACCAGGGGUGGCCCCCAUGCAUCAAUGCUCCUCAAGAGGCCAUCUGGAUCCCAGACAUAGAUCUUCACCACUGCAUCUCAUUUGCAUUCUAAACAGAAGGUGCUUUAACCAGACUUAACUCUAGCAGUGACAAACCAGGUUCCUGAUACAUCCUAAGUAUGAAACCAUCACAACACUUUAUGAGCUUGGCUGAAAAGAUACUUCUUGGUUUUCUUGAUGAUGCUUGACCAUCCUUCUUAGUUAUUAUGGUAAUGAAGCUACUGAUGCUUGUCCAGGCCUCACUUUCAGAAGUGUUAGUCCAGCAUGCCUGGCUGCUUAUCAGAACACGCAAAGCCCUCACAAAGUGGAUUCCACGUUACUUUGCUGGGAAUGGCUGC